AGUUUGAUUAUGGCUCAGAUUGAACGCUGGCGGGAUGCUUUACACAUGCAAGUCGAACGGCAGCACUGACUUUGGUCUGGUGGCGAGUGGCGAACGGGUGAGUAAUGUAUCGGAACGUGCCUAGUAGCGGGGAUAACUACGCGAAAGCGUAGCUAAUACCGCAUACGCCCUUCGGGGAAAGCGGGGGACCUUUCGCCUCGCACCUAUUAGAGCGGCCGAUAUCGGAUUAGCUAGUUGGUGGGGUAACGGCUCAUCAAGGCGACGAUCCGUAGCUGGUUUGAGAGGACGACCAGCCACACUGGGACUGAGACACGGCCCAGACUCCUACGGGAGGCAGCAGUGGGGAAUUUUGGACAAUGGGGGAAACCCUGAUCCAGCCAUCCCGCGUGUGCGAUGAAGGCCUUCGGGUUGUAAAGCACUUUUGAGUAGAAGAAACGGUACUGGAUAAUACCCCGUGCAACCUGACGGUACCUGCAGAAUAAGCACCGGCUAACCACGUGCCAGCAGCCGCGGUAAUACGUGUAGGGUGCAAGCGUUAACGGAAUUACUGGGCGUAAAGCGUGCGCAGGCGUCUGGAAAGUGAAAGAUGUGAAAUCCCAGAGCUUAACUUUGGAAUUCUCCGCAUUUUAACUACUGAGCUUUAGAGUGUGUCAGAGGGAGGUGGAAUUCUGCGUGUAGCAGUGAAAUGCGUAGAUAUGCGGAGAACAACAUUGGCGAAGGCAGCAUUUCCGGAUAACACUGACGCUCAUGCACGAAAGCGUGGGGAGCAAACAGGAUUAGAUACCCUGGUAGUCCACGCCCUAAACGAUGUCAACUAGCUGUUGGGGCCGGCCUUGGCAUGCAGCUAAUGCAGUUGACUGCCUGGGGAGUACGGUCGCAAAGACAAAACUCAAAGGAAUUGGAUGAAUUCUGCACAAGCGGUGAUGAUGUGAUUAAUUGAUGCGUGCAACGCGAAGAACCUUACCUACCCCGAUAGCUGUUCGAACUCGAGAUUUGGGAGUGCCUUUGCAGAGGAACCGGAACACAGGUGCUGUAUGGCUGUCGUCAGCUCGUGGUCGUGAGAUGUUGGGUUAAGUCCCGCAACGAGCGCAACCCUUUGUCAUUAGUUGCUACGAAAGGGCACUCUAAUGAGACUGCCGGUGACAAACCGAGAAGCGUGGGGAUGACGUCAAGUCCUCAUGGCCCUUAUGGGUAGGGCUUCACACGUCAUACAAUGGUCGGGACAGAGGGUCGCCAACCCGCGAGGGGGAGCCAAUCCCAGAAACCCGAUCAACCGAUCUGCAGGCCUGCACCGACUGCGUGAGUCGGAAUCACAGUAACGUGAUCAGCAUGUCGCGGUGAAUACGUUCCCCGGGUCUUGUACACACCGCCCGUCACACCAUGGGAGUGGGUUUUACCAGAAGUAGUUAGCCUAACCGUAAGGAGGGCGAUUACCACGGUAGGAUCAUGAUCAGUGAAGUCGUAACAAGGUAG
RNAcentral lists this ribosomal RNA (1473 nucleotides) under uncultured Bordetella sp. RNAcentral's name for it is "partial 16S-23S ribosomal RNA intergenic spacer". It matches the Rfam family "Bacterial small subunit ribosomal RNA". Lineage: Bacteria; Pseudomonadati; Pseudomonadota; Betaproteobacteria; Burkholderiales; Alcaligenaceae. The record is from RNAcentral.